UACGUAGGUGGCAAGCGUUGUCCGGAUUUAUUGGGUUUAAAGGGUGCGUAGGCGGUUAUAUAAGUCAGUGCUGAAAUCUCCCGGCUUAACCGGGAGGGUGGCAUUGAUACUGUAUGACUUGAGUAAAGUUGAGGUUGGCGGAAUUGACGGUGUAGCGGUGAAAUGCUUAGAUAUCGGGAGGAACACCAGAGGCGAAGGCGGCCGACUGGGCUGUACCUGACGCUGAGGCGCGAAAGCGUGGGGAGCGAACCGG
This 253-nucleotide ribosomal RNA is filed under the name uncultured bacterium. RNAcentral's name for it is "partial 16S ribosomal RNA". It matches the Rfam family "Bacterial small subunit ribosomal RNA", at positions 524 to 776 of the family's 1533-position model. The record is from RNAcentral.